GGGUAGAAGCCAUUUGCUCCCAUUGUGUUUCUAAGCCUGAGAAUAUGCAUGACUCCUGUGAGCGGGUCCUUUACGUGAGUGCUUUCAGAACACGUGAAUAAAUCUACCUAGAGAGAAAACUGAACAUCCAGACUGGUCUUCCGCAGCAGCUGCCGAAGGCAUUUGGCUUGCAUGGAGAAAAAUGAGUUGAUGUGCUAGAAGGGGGUCUGUUUUGUAGAACAAUGACAGCAGCAAUCCAAGGGAUGAA
This is a long non-coding RNA of Tympanuchus pallidicinctus (lesser prairie-chicken), 247 nucleotides long. RefSeq lists it as uncharacterized. The transcript has 3 exons. The record is from RefSeq and is a predicted model, not a curated record. Lineage: Eukaryota; Metazoa; Chordata; Aves; Galliformes; Phasianidae.